Molecule: long non-coding RNA, 1160 nt
Organism: Fopius arisanus
Lineage: Eukaryota; Metazoa; Arthropoda; Insecta; Hymenoptera; Braconidae
Exons: 3
Source: RefSeq, a predicted model, not a curated record
ACAAAUCUACAGCACGAUUUCAAAGUCAUAUGAUAAUCACAGGCUGUCAUAUCGCACCAUACUAUCACCCCCAAUCGAAAGGUCCUUCAAUUUUUUUUAUUCUUUAUCAUUCCUCGAUAAUAUCAUUGCGCACGCACACACAAUUACCACAAAAUUUUCAAAUUCUAUAUUCAACUUACAUAUUCCGCACCACCGAGUGGUCUAUUAUCUCUCGACGAGGUUAAUACGUACGUUAUCAUUUUACUCCCCCCGAAAUAAUCGAUUUUUUAAUUUGAUGAGAAAUUAUGAUAAAUGUGUUGCUGGUAUGCUAGCACAUGGAUUUAAUUUACAAGAGGAAAAUUUAAUGUCUGGAAAUAGUUGUUUACUGUUGGUCGAUGAUAAUUUAUAGGGUACCAGUGGGCUAUUGUUUGCCGGAUGGAUGAAAUCGGCUUAGAGGGAAACCAGCCCAACUGCAUCCAAUAUCUAGGCUCUCCUCACUAACGGCAUUGUUUCUAGUGUGGUCGAGCAUACGGUAUAGCUAAAUAUCUCACAACUAGCCAGUUCACAACGUCCCAACGGCUAACCACUAACCACCAGGACAACUGUGAUCCACUUGUACAACUAAGUCACUUGUAAUAAAUGUUUGUUGGUUCACCAUUGAAUGAUUCGCUAGAUUAUAUCAUCAUCGUGCCAACAGAUACAAAUGAGCAGUACACGAGAAUAAUUAUUCCCCAGAAGUAGAGACUCAUUGCCAGGCAUAAAAAAAAUAUACUAAAUAUUUAUUUUAGAGAAAGAGAGGAAAUACCACGAGGAAUCGGGUGCUGUACACAGAAUAACGCUAACCCUUGCGACGGAGUAAAAGGAUAUUCUGGGGAAAUUACUCAUGCAAUUAUCGGCCUCUCCACGAUCUCUCUGGUAACUUGAUGCAUUACAUGGUUUAGAUGUGUGGCUCGUCACCUUGGGUAUACAAGCUCAGCUGAGGUUCCGGAGAUAUACGAAAAUAUCGCAUCAAAGGAAAAUAUUGUGCACAUAACGAGUAAUACGUUCCAGAAUCGUCGAUACGUUCCAGAAUAGUAGAAUGACCACCAACUUUCUUCACUGUUAUAAUAGUACUAUAUUGGAAAUUACGUUGAGGGAGAGUGCUCUUGUUGUUACGAGAAAGUUUGAGUGGCUCUCUUUCG